GUGGAGGACAGAAGAGAGCCAUUAUAAUGAGAGGUCACCUAAUGAAAAAUUGCACUUCUUUGCUGGUAGUAUAAGAAUAAUACCAAUAACACCACACGCCUCGGUUCUUCUUGAUGAGGACUUUCUUGAUGGAGAACUAUAACUGUCCACAGAAUUUUUCAGGUUGCCCGUGCUUCCCCUCUUCAUUUGUCCCGAAUUCGGUCUCGUCCGACGACGAGAACAUUUCGUGGUGGGAUACUCUGGGAUGGGUCAUCGUCGGCAUAGUUGUCGUCGCGGUUGUAAUCCGUAGUUUCCUUUUCUACUUUCGUCGUGGUCCUGAGGACGCAGAAAUCACUCUCCCGGUAAACGUGGAAAUCUCCCUUUAAUAGGACACUGCGAGCAUUUCGUUUCCGUUGUCGUUAGCGUUCUUCUCCUAGGACAAUAAGAUCAAGCUUCUGGACAUGUGUCUGUGUGAAACUCGAAUAAUUUAUAGUGACAGGUCGUCUAUUCUAUUAUCCAACAUUGGAGAUUUGAUGCAACAAAUAAUUGUAUUGGAGGAAAAAAAUUGUGAUUAAGGGUUUG
Molecule: long non-coding RNA, 561 nt
Organism: Eucalyptus grandis
Lineage: Eukaryota; Viridiplantae; Streptophyta; Magnoliopsida; Myrtales; Myrtaceae
Exons: 2
Source: RefSeq, a predicted model, not a curated record